GGCCAUUCUUGGGUGACAACACCUGGAAUCGGGCUCUUUCCUCUCUGGUUCUGGGUGCGUCACCUGAGAACUGCA
This is a microRNA precursor of Myotis lucifugus (little brown bat), 75 nucleotides long. It matches the Rfam family "mir-9223 microRNA precursor family". Lineage: Eukaryota; Metazoa; Chordata; Mammalia; Chiroptera; Vespertilionidae. The record is from Rfam.